AGAGGGGGGUGGCAGGGAGUUUAAAAGGAUCAGUCUGUGAGAUAGACACGCUUGUGGCAACUAAAUUUGUCAGUUGGAGUUUUCAGUAACUUCCAUUCUGGAUCCACAGCACCGAUAAUAAUGAUGUUCUGCAGAGCGGCUUGGCAAAGACUUGCGCCUCUGGCACGCAAAACGCUCACUCCUUUCAGCAAUGCUGUAUUUCCUACACGACAGAUGUCUUUUGGUCUACCGGCGUCUGGCACAAACAUAGCUUACGUGGUACUUGGUGGAAGCUCACUUACUGCUGCUCUUGUUUAUGCUUAUAAGACAAUAAACUCUGACAGUGCAAGAUAUAAUGAAAGAAUUGCUCAAUUCGAGGCCAGACCUAAAAGUAAGGUAGGAGCAGUUGCUGAGGUAGCCUCGGUAGCAGAAGCAGAAACCACAGCAGCUGAGGUGAUUAAUGCAGAGGCUGAACAGACCCCAGAACCUGUGGAGGCAGCAACUGCGAUAGUAGAAGCAGUAGCAGCUGAUGCUGAGGAACCUACUGCACCUGUUGCUGAGGAUGUCACUGCUGAGGCUGCUGCUCCCAUUGCUGAAACAACCGUUAUCCCAAUGUCUGACCUACUGAGCACUGUGAAAAUCCUGGCUGGAUCUACAGCAGAGAUUGCAGCUGCUUCGGUCGGUGAUCAGCAUCUGGUGGCCACAGUGAGAUUGGCUGAGGAAAAUAAUUCUAUGGAGACCCUCAAUGGGCUGGAGGUUGCUGAUGUUAAAGCAGAGGUCCCAGCAGAAGUGCCUGAGCGAGCUGUGGUUGAGGAAGCUAUGAGAGGUAGACUGAAUCUGAAAACAGAAGUAAAAGAACUGGAGGAACUGCCAUCAUCACUUCAUGCAGUAGAAGAAAAUAUUGUUGUGGAAGAUGACCAUGUCAAGUCUGAGGCAGACAGCCCUGCUGUGCCUGAAAGCCUUGCUUCAUCAGAGGAGGCCCUUGUUACAGAGAUGGAGAACAUUUUGGAAUUAGAAGACUCAACAAGCCCUGUGGUGAUGCUCUCAGAAGAUGACACCGUCUCUGGAGCUGUAGAGCUGACAUCAGAAACAGUUGAGGAAGUAGGUCAGAAAAUGGAAGAAUCAACUGCCACAGAAACAGCACAUGCAGAUCUCGCAGCACCACCAGCAGACCUAGAGGACUCAUUACAGGCUACAGGUGCAACAGAGGCUGCAGAAGUUCUUCUCAUGGAAAUGGUGCAGGAUGCUGUGGAGAAAGCUAAACCUGUUGAGGCAUCAGAUGAAGCUGUUGAAAGUGGAAAUGUUGCAAUGACCAUGACACAAGCCUGAAGUGAUUGUACCACACCUGAGACACUGGAAACGAGUGAAACUAGACAAUCUGUGAUGUAAUGAUUACUGAGGAUAACAUAUGGUAGUGCUGUUACAGUCAUAAAAAAGACAUCUAAAUGACUUUUUAUUUCCAACUGAAUCGCAAAUUUGGUAAAUGACUAGGGUCUCCUUAAUUUUGUUAUUUCAUCUGAAAAUGAGAUUUAGUCAGUUAAAACAGAUUUGAGUUUAAUUGAUCUAAUUUUGUGUCUCUGGAAAACAGUGAUCUGUGACACUGUAUUAUGCUGAAUAUCAAAGGUUUUGUGGGCACAUUCAUGUUGUUAGAUUGCUUUUUAUUUUAACGUGAAAAGAUCAAAUUAGAAUUAAGGCAGAAGGUCCCAACUGGCAUGUUGUUGCUAGUGCUUAUUGUAAUUCAUUAGGUUAUUAUUCAGUUAUUCCGUUAUACACAAAAUAUUGUAAACAUGCAUUGCAAUAAGAUAUUUUGCUUUUAAAUGUGUAAUCAAAAUGGAAGGAAAUUGUAUAUGAAAUGUGAAUUAAUCACAUCGAUCUUAAAUGUAUUUAUAUUUAUUUAUUUUUAAUGUAUAGGUGUACAUUUUAGAAAUCUUUAUAUAUAUAUAUAUAAGUGAACUGAUUUUAAUUUAACUUGAAUUAAAUUUAAAUUCAUAGUGUUGCUAUUAUGAUGUACAUUAAAUUAAUAUAUGGUCAAUUAGAUAUGUAAGUUGUAGCAUAAAUUUACCUUUCAUAACCUUUCAUAAUUAUCUCACUGGGAUUUUAUCUGUAAUUGAUAAAUUAUUUAGUUGAUCUGUCAAAGCACAAUUUUAAAUAGUAUUUUAUAAUUACACACACACACAGAGAGAAAGAGAUUGUUAUGCUUGAGUUAAUUUAUUAUGUGAUUGUGCGUUCUGAAUGAGAACAUGAUUAAACUAUUGAGUAUUGCAGAGAACAUAGAACAAAACUGAAAUGUGUGUUUAAAAAAAAGUUAAUUAUUUUAAAUGCAUCUUUGUUUCAAGAACUGCAUGAACUGUUUUGGAAAUUAGACCAACUGAAUUUGUUUUUUAUAGUGUUAACACUAUAAAAACACUGUGUUAUAGUGUCUGAAAUGAAUCUCUACUAUGUGCUCUCACUACUUCUUGGCAACGCAUAAUACUUGUGAAGUCAUUAUUUACAGAAAGAGUGUAUUUACAUUAAACUCAUUCAAUAUCUGAUUUUCAAAAUUGUCUCUUACUAAUUCACAAGCAGUCCGGACACAACAAGUAGCCAAAAUACAAGUAGUCAGAACAUUCAUUCUAGACUUGUAGUAUUAUAUAUAUAUUGUUGUUGUUUGUUUGUAAAUAUCCAUAUAAUUUAGUUAUUUUAUUUUAACAUUAGUUAAUAAAUUAACAAACAAGCUUAGUGUUAUGCA
Long non-coding RNA from Cyprinus carpio (common carp), 2707 nucleotides. The record is from Ensembl. NCBI's taxonomy places the organism in Eukaryota, Metazoa, Chordata, Actinopteri, Cypriniformes, Cyprinidae.